Echinops telfairi (small Madagascar hedgehog) is the source of this 1024-nucleotide long non-coding RNA. RefSeq lists it as uncharacterized. Lineage: Eukaryota; Metazoa; Chordata; Mammalia; Afrosoricida; Tenrecidae. The transcript has 7 exons. The record is from RefSeq and is a predicted model, not a curated record.
GGCUCACGUAGGCUUAGGAGAAUGAAACUUCAGUAUAUUUUAAUCUGAAUAAUUCUUCAGGAUUUAAAAUUAAUUGGCUCUGGUUGGGUUGGGCCAGAUUGAGAUCUCGCCACCUCUCCGGUGCCCGAGUCACUGGCUAAGAGGUGAUUUUUUUUCCCCCCGAACUGGGUUUAUGCGCGUCCCCCUCACCCCCUCCUCUCUUUUUCUUUCUCUCUGUCCCUGUCCCCUCUCUCGUUGGCUUUUUAAACAUGAGAAACCGUUCCCUGAACGUUCCGGACAGAGCACAGAAUUGCUUAAGUCAGCCCGGCGCGGUUGCAAUAGACAGCAAAAAGGUAAACGUUUUCCUGAAAGCCGCACGCCAGCUCCACCGCCCCGCCCGAUGAUUUUCCUCUCCCUUGCUUGGGCUUGCUGUGUUCUCAUUCUAAACCAUAUGACCUACUCUUCGCCUGAUCCUGCGAAUGUUCCUGGCACUGCAAUUUGACGAUAGUUUAAGCACUACUCCAGUUUCCUCAGCAUGCUGCCUACACCUGGAGAAGUAAGGAUCUAAUUGCACACCACAAUGUCGUAAGACCAUGAGCCCUGGUGAACUCAACAUCCAGCUUCUCCACUAGCAAUAGCGUGGGCACCUUCCUGAUGAGACUUUGCUCAACUCCAAAGGACUCCCAGGUGGAAUUUUCCUUUCAAGCUGCUAACCCUUCUUUGCUACGGAUGUUCCUGAAGAAGGAAAGAUGGGGCCCUUCUCUAAGGAGCUCUUCUAUCAGAGAGGAAUCCUUCAUGUGCACCUGGUUGUCUUCCUCUUUCCUCUCCAAGCCUUGUGAACAAACAGCGUGAUUCCGAUGCAUGCUGGAGUUUGAGAACUAUUGCGACGGAGUAAAGAUCCUUGUCAAAGAGUUGCAACAGAGAGGCAUCGUUCACCAGUUCCGAGACUCCUCAUGGUGUAAGUCGGGACUGGAUGAUUAGGAAUCAUGCUGAUCUGGCCCACUGGAGCAGCCAAACUUUCAGGGAUUGGUGAGCAUCAGGUAAA